Molecule: long non-coding RNA, 408 nt
Filed under: Rattus norvegicus (Norway rat)
Lineage: Eukaryota; Metazoa; Chordata; Mammalia; Rodentia; Muridae
Description: long non-coding RNA NONRATT012849
Source: RNAcentral
GUGGACCCGGACGUGCCGUCCCCUCAGUCUAAGGAUGCCCAGUACACAGUGACCUUCUCUCACUGUAAGGACUACGUGGUAACUGUCACAGAAGAAUUCCUAGAGUUCAUUUCUGAUGGCGCGCUGGCAGUUGAAGUGUGGGGCCACAGGUGUGCUGGGAACGGAAGCCCCAUCUGGGAGGUCGAUUCCCUCCACGCGAAGACAAGGACAUUACACGACAGUGUGUGUCUGUGUUCUCACAGAUGGAGUCAGAGGACACCUUGCAGGAGUCUGUUACCAACUUCCACCAUGUGGUUCCCGGGGAUUGAAUUCGGGUCGUCUGGUUUGAAGGCACGCCCCUUUACCAACUGGGCCACCUUGUUGACCCAGAUCUCAAAUUUAAAUGAAAAGCAAAAAAAAAAAAAAAAA